GGCUCAGGAUGAACGCUAGCGGCAGGCUUAAUACAUGCAAGUCGUGGGGCAGCGCAGUGUAGCAAUACAUGGGCGGCGACCGGCAAACGGGUGCGGAACACGUACACAACCUUCCUACAAGUGGGGAAUAGCCCAGAGAAAUUUGGAUUAAUACCCCGUAACAUAUAAAGAUGGCAUCAUUUUAUAUUAUAGCUACGGCGCUUGUUGAUGGGUGUGCGGCUGAUUAGGUAGUUGGCGGGGUAAUGGCCCACCAAGCCUGCGAUCAGUAGCUGAUGUGAGAGCAUGAUCAGCCACACGGGCACUGAGACACGGGCCCGACUCCUACGGGAGGCAGCAGUAAGGAAUAUUGGACAAUGGGCGCAAGCCUGAUCCAGCCAUGCCGCGUGAAGGAUUAAGGUCCUCUGGAUUGUAAACUUCUUUUAUAAGGGACGAAAAAGGGAAUUCUUUCUCACUUGACGGUACCUUAUGAAUAAGCACCGGCUAACUCCGUG
Molecule: ribosomal RNA, 491 nt
Filed under: uncultured bacterium
Lineage: Bacteria
Description: bacterial SSU rRNA
Rfam family: Bacterial small subunit ribosomal RNA
Source: RNAcentral